RNAcentral lists this ribosomal RNA (853 nucleotides) under uncultured Geobacter sp. RNAcentral describes it as "bacterial SSU rRNA". It matches the Rfam family "Bacterial small subunit ribosomal RNA", at positions 59 to 888 of the family's 1533-position model. Lineage: Bacteria; Pseudomonadati; Thermodesulfobacteriota; Desulfuromonadia; Geobacterales; Geobacteraceae. The record is from RNAcentral.
CAGUCGAACGGAGUGAAGGAGCUUGCUCUUUCAUUUAGUGGCGCACGGGUGAGUAACGCGUAGAUAAUCUGCCUUAGACUCUGGGAUAACAUCUCGAAAGGGGUGCUAAUACCGGAUAAGCCCACGAUGGCGUAAGUCAUUGCGGGAAAAGGGGGCCUCUGAAUAUGCUCUUGAUCUAAGAUGAGUCUGCGUACCAUUAGCUAGUUGGUAGGGUAAGAGCCUACCAAGGCGACGAUGGUUAGCUGGUCUGAGAGGAUGAUCAGCCACACUGGAACUGAGACACGGUCCAGACUCCUACGGGAGGCAGCAGUGGGGAAUUUUGCGCAAUGGGGGAAACCCUGACGCAGCAACGCCGCGUGAGUGAUGAAGGCUUUCGGGUCGUAAAGCUCUGUCUAGAGGGAAGAAAUGAUAAUCGGUUAAUACCCGGUUUUCUUGACGGUACCUCUGAAGGAAGCACCGGCUAACUCCGUGCCAGCAGCCGCGGUAAUACGGAGGGUGCAAGCGUUGUUCGGAUUUAUUGGGCGUAAAGCGCGUGUAGGCGGUUUGUUAAGUCUGAUGUGAAAGCCCUGGGCUCAACCUGGGAAGUGCAUUGGAAACUGGCAGACUUGAAUACGGGAGAGGGUAGUGGAAUUCCUAGUGUAGGAGUGAAAUCCGUAGAUAUUAGGAGGAACACCGGUGGCGAAGGCGGCUACCUGGACCGAUAUUGACGCUGAGACGCGAAAGCGUGGGGAGCAAACAGGAUUAGAUACCCUGGUAGUCCACGCCGUAAACGAUGAGUACUAGGUGUCGCGGGUAUUGACCCCUGCAGUGCCGCAGCUAACGCAUUAAGUACUCCGCCUGGGAAGUACGGUCG